This 487-nucleotide ribosomal RNA is filed under the name uncultured Oscillospiraceae bacterium. RNAcentral describes it as "bacterial SSU rRNA". It matches the Rfam family "Bacterial small subunit ribosomal RNA", at positions 32 to 507 of the family's 1533-position model. Lineage: Bacteria; Bacillati; Bacillota; Clostridia; Eubacteriales; Oscillospiraceae. The record is from RNAcentral.
CAGGAAUGAAACGCUGGCGGCGUGCUUAACACAUGCAAGUCGAACAGAACCAUUGGAUCGAGGAUUCGUCCAAGUGAAGGUGGGGAAAAGGUGGCGGACGGGUGAGUAACGCGUGAGCAAUCUGCCUUGGAUGGGGAAUAGCGGCUGGAAACAGCCGCUAAUACCGCAUGAUACAGCUGGGAGGCAUCUCCCUGGCUGUCAAAGAUUUAUCGCUCUGAGAUGAGCUCGCGUCUGAUUAGCUAGUUGGCGGGGUAACGGCCCACCAAGGCGACGAUCAGUAGCCGGACUGAGAGGUUGGCCGGCCACAUUGGGACUGAGACACGGCCCAGACUCCUACGGGAGGCAGCAGUGGGGAAUAUUAGGCAAUGGGCGCAAGCCUGACCCAGCAACGCCGCGUGAAGGAAGAAGGCUUUCGGGUUGUAAACUUCUUUUGUCAGGGACGAAGCAAGUGACGGUACCUGACGAAUAAGCCACGGCUAACUACGUG